RNAcentral lists this transfer RNA (64 nucleotides) under Polydora cf. ciliata DS-2023. RNAcentral's name for it is "tRNA-Met". The record is from RNAcentral. Lineage: Eukaryota; Metazoa; Annelida; Polychaeta; Spionida; Spionidae.
GACAAGAUAGGUUAAUAAAACCGGUGGGCUCAUGCCCCAACAUUGAGAUAAUUCUCUCUUGCUC